RNAcentral lists this ribosomal RNA (249 nucleotides) under uncultured bacterium. RNAcentral describes it as "partial 16S ribosomal RNA". It matches the Rfam family "Bacterial small subunit ribosomal RNA", at positions 1254 to 1500 of the family's 1533-position model. The record is from RNAcentral.
GCCGCGAGGUAGAGCAAAUCUCAAAAAAACAAUCUCAGUUCAGACUGCAGGCUGCAACUCGCCUGCACGAAGUCGGAAUUGCUAGUAAUCGUAGGUCAGCAUACUACGGUGAAUACGUUCCCGGGCCUUGUACACACCGCCCGUCACACCACGGAAGUUGGGGGCGCCCGAAGCCACUUAGCUAACCCUUUUGGGAAGCGAGUGUCGAAGGUGAAAUCAAUAACUGGGGUGAAGUCGUAACAAGGUAAC